GCAAGUCGAGCGGUAGCACAGAGAAGCUUGCUUCUUGGGUGACGAGCGGCGGACGGGUGAGUAACGCGUGGGAAUCUACCGGGUAGUGGGGGACAACAGUCGGAAACGACUGCUAAUACCGCAUACGCCCUUUGGGGGAAAGUGGGGGAUCUUCGGACCUCACGCUAUCAGAUGAGCCCGCGUCGGAUUAGCUUGUUGGUGAGGUAAAGGCUCACCAAGGCGAUGAUCCGUAGCUGGUCUGAGAGGAUGACCAGCCACACUGGGACUGAGACACGGCCCAGACUCCUACGGGAGGCAGCAGUGGGGAAUAUUGGACAAUGGGGGCAACCCUGAUCCAGCCAUGCCGCGUGUGUGAAGAAGGCCUUCGGGUUGUAAAGCACUUUCAGCUGUGAGGAAAGGUGAGUGGUUAAUACCCGCUUGCUGUGACGUUAACAGCAGAAGAAGGACCGGCUAACUCCGUGCCAGCAGCCGCGGUAAUACGGAGGGUCCGAGCGUUAAUCGGAAUUACUGGGCGUAAAGCGCGCGUAGGUGGUUCAGUCAGUCAGAUGUGAAAGCCCCGGGCUCAACCUGGGAACUGCACCUGAUACUGCUGAGCUAGAGUACGGUAGAGGGUAGUGGAAUUUCCGGUGUAGCGGUGAAAUGCGUAGAGAUCGGAAGGAACACCAGUGGCGAAGGCGACUACCUGGACCGAUACUGACACUGAGGUGCGAAAGCGUGGGUAGCAAACAGGAUUAGAUACCCUGGUAGUCCACGCCGUAAACGAUGUCAACUAGCCGUUGGGGGACUUGAUCCUUUAGUGGCGAAGCUAACGCGAUAAGUUGACCGCCUGGGGAGUACGGCCGCAAGGUUACAACUCAAAUGAAUUGACGGAA
RNAcentral lists this ribosomal RNA (872 nucleotides) under uncultured bacterium. RNAcentral's name for it is "bacterial SSU rRNA". It matches the Rfam family "Bacterial small subunit ribosomal RNA", at positions 57 to 918 of the family's 1533-position model. The record is from RNAcentral.